UACAGAGGGUGCGAGCGUUGUCCGGAAUCACUGGGCGUAAAGGGCGCGUAGGCGGCGCGACAAGUCAAUGGUGAAAGCCCGAGGCUCAACUUCGGGUCGGCCACUGAUACUGUUGGGCUUGAGCACUGUAGAGGCAGGUGGAAUUCCGGGUGUAGCGGUGGAAUGCGUAGAGAUCCGGAAGAACACCGGUGGCGAAGGCGGCCUGCUGGGCAGUAGCUGACGCUGAGGCGCGACAGCGUGGGGAGCAAACAGG
RNAcentral lists this ribosomal RNA (253 nucleotides) under uncultured bacterium. Its description in RNAcentral is "partial 16S ribosomal RNA". It matches the Rfam family "Bacterial small subunit ribosomal RNA", at positions 524 to 776 of the family's 1533-position model. The record is from RNAcentral.